GGGAGGUCCCGGCUGAGAGCGCCGGCUGCCGGCUGGGGACCUGGUGAGUGUGAAGCUGUAACCUUCUGCUGGGGCCGGGGCCGAAGUUUUUCCGCCAGAGCAAGGAAGGCUGCCCCUGGCAGCAACUGCACUCCUUCCUUACUCCUGUUGAGAUUCAUUUUAUAGUAGGAAAUAGGCAUCUAACUACCAUACAAGUUCAGACCAAUGGAAGAAAAGAGCAGCAAAAAUUGAACUGAAUGAAUCCCAAAAGCAAGAAAUUAAAGACGCCUUUAAUUUAUUUGAUAUUGAUGGGUCUGGAACCAUCGAUGUAAAAGAAGGUUCUGAAAUUAUUUCUAAUUCUAAAUCAUUUUAAAAACCAUAUUAUUUGUGGCAAUCUUUAAGGCUUUCUUUAAAAGUAGUCUUCUGAAAGCUUAAUAUAAAGUCUCUUCAGUGCAUAUGCCUGCCCUGCAUUAGCAAAACGAUAUCUUGUUAAGCAUUUUAAUUGUGUUUUAUAAAUGAGUAGGCAAAAGCCCAGGGUGUAACAGUGAUGUACAUGAUGGCACAGUAGGACUGAAACACAGGCCUGCUGACCUAAUUUUCUGUUUAUGCUCAGUCCAUAAUAGAAAAGAGAGAAGCUCUUAAUAGGGAGUUAAAAAGCUUAGAAAGAAAUCAUGGCAUAUUAUAAUUCCUUUUCUUCCUAUUUCAGAUUGCAGUGUGGGCCUUAGGAUUUGAACCAAAGAAAGAAGAAAUUUAAAAAAUGGUAGCUGAAGUUGAUAAAGAAGGAAUUGGCACCAUUAGUUUUGAAGAUUUUUUUUUGCCAUUAUGAGUAUAAAAAUGAUAUAGUUAUGAUUUUAUUUUUCAAAGAAAUACUAGCAAUAACCUGCUACAUUUUAGGGCUGGAGCAAUCAGAAGUUUUAUAGAGAAGCAAUUAGAACUAGGUUUUUAAGGAUGGGAGAUAGGAAGAGCAAGAUUAAAUAUGUUUUCAGGGUAGUAAUGAGAAGACUAUGAUGUGGAGAAGAGGUUUUUGUCAGGAAAUAAUGAGGCUAUAUUGCAGGAUAGAGAGAAUGGGGCCAGAAUUUGGAAGCCUUUAAUUCAGCAACAUAUAUUGAAUGCCUAUUUUUGCCAGGCACUAUUCUAAGGAGCAUUGAAAGAUACAACCUUCCAUUUUGAAGCUUACAUUUUUGGUAACGGAUCUGAAUUAUGAGGUUUAAUAAGAGAUGCAUUCUGGACCACCCUGUGCCUUCUCCACCUUAGCAAGCUCUACCUUUAAGCACCUUGAGGGCAGGUGUGAGUACAUAAUUGUUAAAAGACCAAUAAAUAAAAUCAGAACACAGCUACUUGGCACAUUGCUGCUUUAGACCCCAAAGAUCUAAUUAAGUCCAGCUUGAUAAAAUAAAUAAAUGAAAGACUGGAUAGUUGCUUCUUUUUUAAAAGAGUAAAAAAGAUGAAAAAGAAGAAAUAUUGAAGACUUUCAAAUUAUUUGAUGAUGAUGAUACUGGAAGUAUAAUACUAACCGGUAUCAAGAGGUUUGCUAAGAAACCAGGGGAAAAUUUAACAUGAUGAACUUCAGGUAGAUUUUGCUUAUUUUUAUAAUUAUAAUUUAUAUGUAAUUAUAACUUAUGUGAUAAUUUAGGAUUAUAAUUCUAACUUUAGUUGCACUUAUGCAUUUAAAAUAAAAUUUGGUUUUGAAUAUGUGUUUGACUUCAUUUAUGUCAUUUUAAAUGUAUUUCAUAUAUUUACAUUUUGUUUUACAGGAAAUGCUUGAUGAAGCUGAUCAUGAUAGAGAUGGAGAAAUAAACGAGGAAGAUGUUUUGAGAGUGAUGAAAAAGACUACUCGUUAUUAAUAGCGUUGUUUUAGUCCUUGUGGAAAAUUAACAAAUUUGUAUUUGUUAUGCAGUUUUAUAAUUUAAUAUCUGAAUGUAUUCAUUUUCAGUUUUUAGUUUAUAUGUACACAUUGGCUUCUUGAUGUCUAAUCCAUGUAAGAAGUUACACAUCUCUACCAAUAUGAUGUUAAAUCUACAGCAUCAAGAAACAAAACAUAAUGACUUCUUUGAGCCAUUAAUCCAAGAACAGUAUUGAUUCUAGCUGCUCUUUUGAGAACCUUAGGUCACAAAGACUUAGAAUUUUAAAGUUUGAUGAAGUUGGCUUCACAUCCAAAUGAAUUUGGCAAACAAAACUUAUAUUUUCCUUUUGUGCAACCCAAAAAAACCUGAUGAACAUUUGCUUUUUAGUCAGUUACUCAAA
Homo sapiens (human) is the source of this 2223-nucleotide long non-coding RNA. Lineage: Eukaryota; Metazoa; Chordata; Mammalia; Primates; Hominidae. The record is from Ensembl.